UACGUAGGGGGCGAGCGUUGUCCGGAUUUACUGGGCGUAAAGAGCGCGUAGGCGGCGAUCUAAGCGUGGCCUGAAAGCCCCCGGCUCAACCGGGGAGUGCGGCUGCGAACUGGGUUUCUUGAGGACGAUAGAGGAGAGUGGAAUUCCUGGUGUAGCGGUGAAAUGCGUAGAUAUCAGGAGGAACACCCGAGGCGAAGGCGGCUCUCUGGGUCGUACCUGACGCUGAGGCGCGAAAGCGUGGGGAGCGAACGGG
RNAcentral lists this ribosomal RNA (253 nucleotides) under uncultured bacterium. RNAcentral describes it as "partial 16S ribosomal RNA". It matches the Rfam family "Bacterial small subunit ribosomal RNA", at positions 524 to 776 of the family's 1533-position model. The record is from RNAcentral.